GAGGCACAGCCUGACUGAAGACCAGCAGUCAUUCUCCGGCUGUUGGUUUCGAGCAGAGGCCUAGAGCAGGUCUUCCUGUGGUCUGCUGGUUCUUCUGGAACCUUGGCAGAAAAUGGCUAUUUGACUCAGAAGAAACAAAC
Molecule: small nucleolar RNA, 140 nt
Organism: Lepus europaeus (European hare)
Lineage: Eukaryota; Metazoa; Chordata; Mammalia; Lagomorpha; Leporidae
Source: RefSeq, a predicted model, not a curated record